Molecule: ribosomal RNA, 1370 nt
Filed under: uncultured bacterium
Lineage: Bacteria
Description: bacterial SSU rRNA
Rfam family: Bacterial small subunit ribosomal RNA
Source: RNAcentral
AGAGUUUGAUCCUGGCUCAGGACGAAUGCUGGCGGCGCGCCUAACACAUGCAAGUCGAACGGAGCUUAGAGAGCUUGCUUUUUAAGCUUAGUGGCGAACGGGUGAGUAACGCGUGAGUAACCUGCCCUAGAGUGUGGGACAACAGUUGGAAACGACUGCUAAUACCGCAUAAGCCCACGGUACCGCAUGGUACUGAGGGAAAAGGAUUUAUUCGCUUUAGGAUGGACUCGCGUCCAAUUAGCUAGUUGGUGAGGUAACGGCCCACCAAGGCGACGAUUGGUAGCCGGACUGAGAGGUUGAACGGCCACAUUGGGACUGAGACACGGCCCAGACUCCUACGGGAGGCAGCAGUGGGGGAUAUUGCACAAUGGGGGAAACCCUGAUGCAGCGACGCCGCGUGGAGGAAGAAGGUUUUCGGAUUGUAAACUCCUGUCGUUAGGGACGAUAAUGACGGUACCUAACAAGAAAGCACCGGCUAACUACGUGCCAGCAGCCGCGGUAAAACGUAGGGUGCAAGCGUUGUCCGGAAUUACUGGGUGUAAAGGGAGCGCAGGCGGGAAGACAAGUUGGAAGUGAAAACCAUGGGCUCAACCCAUGAAUUGCUUUCAAAACUGUUUUUCUUGAGUAGUGCAGAGGUAGAUGGAAUUCCCGGUGUAGCGGUGGAAUGCGUAGAUAUCGGGAGGAACACCAGUGGCGAAGGCGGUCUACUGGGCACCAACUGACGCUGAGGCUCGAAAGCAUGGGUAGCAAACAGGAUUAGAUACCCUGGUAGUCCAUGCCGUAAACGAUGAUUACUAGGUGUUGGGGGAUUGACCCCCUCAGUGCCGCAGUUAACACAAUAAGUAAUCCACCUGGGGAGUACGACCGCAAGGUUGAAACUCAAAGGAAUUGACGGGGGCCCGCACAAGCAGUGGAGUAUGUGGUUUAAUUCGAAGCAACGCGAAGAACCUUACCAGGUCUUGACAUCGAGUGACGUACCUAGAGAUAGGUAUUUUCUUCGGAACACAAAGACAGGUGGUGCAUGGUUGUCGUCAGCUCGUGUCGUGAGAUGUUGGGUUAAGUCCCGCAACGAGCGCAACCCUUACCAUUAGUUGCUACGCAAGAGCACUCUAAUGGGACUGCCGUUGACAAAACGGAGGAAGGUGGGGAUGACGUCAAAUCAUCAUGCCCCUUAUGACCUGGGCUACACACGUACUACAAUGGCAAUAUAACAGAGGGAAGCAAUACAGCGAUGUGGAGCAAAUCCCCAAAAAUUGUCCCAGUUCAGAUUGCAGGCUGCAACUCGCCUGCAUGAAGUCGGAAUUGCUAGUAAUCGCAGAUCAGCAUGCUGCGGUGAAUACGUUCCCGGGCCUUGCACACACCGCCCGUCA